This 369-nucleotide long non-coding RNA is filed under the name Carica papaya (papaya). RNAcentral's name for it is "long non-coding RNA (CPAP_LNC007750)". The record is from RNAcentral. Lineage: Eukaryota; Viridiplantae; Streptophyta; Magnoliopsida; Brassicales; Caricaceae.
ACCGUGAUCACCAUUCUUUUCUCUACAGGUUGAUCGGAGCCGAAUCACCAAAACACGAACCUCGCCGGAGAGCCGCCGCACCCAAGAGCACCGCCGCCAGUACUAGUAGUGCGUUUCAGUUCCCCGGGAAAAAUUCAAAAAAAAAUUAGGGAUAGCCUGCAGGCGCACUGUAGAGCUGUAUUCGGACCCCGAACACAAGUAAGGAUUCCUCACCCUAUUUUUUAUCACGGUAUUAAGGUGCAAUAAAUGAUAAAUGGUAUUUCAUGAAUCAAUAGCUGUGUGAAAUUGUUUAAGGUUGCUGAUGGAGUCCGAGUCUAGUAUAUUUGUCGGUCAGUUGUUGUUUGUUCUAUUUUACAGUUUUAAAUGCAG